Small nuclear RNA from Arabidopsis thaliana (thale cress), 69 nucleotides. NCBI's taxonomy places the organism in Eukaryota, Viridiplantae, Streptophyta, Magnoliopsida, Brassicales, Brassicaceae. The record is from RefSeq.
CGCUAAGCCAAAGGUCACCCCAAGUGGGAGAUCCUGCGUCAUUAUUUGUUGCCUUGGGGGCCUGCGUUC